Bos taurus (domestic cattle) is the source of this 263-nucleotide long non-coding RNA. NCBI's taxonomy places the organism in Eukaryota, Metazoa, Chordata, Mammalia, Artiodactyla, Bovidae. The record is from Ensembl.
UGGAGGGUGUGUUCAGACUCCCCUCCAGUAGAUUCCCACUACCCAACCCAGGCGGCUGGAUGGUUUGAGGGACCCAGCUUAUGCCCUGAAGCAAGGAGCCUACCCCAUGGAGCCAAAAGACUCAGAGAAGAUCACUUACAGCAUUUUAGAACCAACAAUCCACUUGGUCAUUCCUCAAGGCUCCAAAAAAUAGACCUUUGAACAAUGACAGCUGGAAGAUCCUGAGGCAUCAGACACGGCUAAUAGAGGAUUCUCCUCCUGUU